GGGACACGUGGUAUCCUGUCUGAAUAUGGGGGGACCAUCCUCCAAGGCUAAAUACUCCUGACUGACCGAUAGUGAACCAGUACCGUGAGGGAAAGGCGAAAAGAACCCCGGCGAGGGGAGUGAAAAAGAACCUGAAACCGUGUACGUACAAGCAGUGGGAGCCUCUUAAUGGGGUGACUGCGUACCUUUUGUAUAAUGGGUCAGCGACUUAUAUUCUGUAGCAAGGUUAACCGAAUAGGGGAGCCGAAGGGAAACCGAGUCUUAACUGGGCGUUAAGUUGCAGGGUAUAGACCCGAAACCCGGUGAUCUAGCCAUGGGCAGGUUGAAGGUUGGGUAACACUAACUGGAGGACCGAACCGACUAAUGUUGAAAAAUUAGCGGAUGACUUGUGGCUGGGGGUGAAAGGCCAAUCAAACCGGGAGAUAGCUGGUUCUCCCCGAAAGCUAUUUAGGUAGCGCCUCGUGAAUUCAUCUCCGGGGGUAGAGCACUGUUUCGGCAAGGGGGUCAUCCCGACUUACCAACCCGAUGCAAACUGCGAAUACCGGAGAAUGUUAUCACGGGAGACACACGGCGGGUGCUAACGUCCGUCGUGAAGAGGGAAACAACCCAGACCGCCAGCUAAGGUCCCAAAGUCAUGGUUAAGUGGGAAACGAUGUGGGAAGGCCCAGACAGCCAGGAUGUUGGCUUAGAAGCAGCCAUCAUUUAAAGAAAGCGUAAUAGCUCACUGGUCGAGUCGGCCUGCGCGGAAGAUGUAACGGGGCUAAACCAUGCACCGAAGCUGCGGCAGCGACACU
Molecule: ribosomal RNA, 794 nt
Filed under: Escherichia coli
Lineage: Bacteria; Pseudomonadati; Pseudomonadota; Gammaproteobacteria; Enterobacterales; Enterobacteriaceae
Description: partial 23S ribosomal RNA
Rfam family: Bacterial large subunit ribosomal RNA
Source: RNAcentral